GCCGGCCGGGUUUUGCUUCAGUGAACGUGUCAGGUGAGGCAGGCAGCGGGUACUGGUGAUACACCUCAGCCAGCCCCCACUCCAAACUGCUGUCAGGUGCCACCAGGGCCACGCCCCCAUGCCCCAAGUACGGUGUCAGCCACGGGCACACUCACGCCUCCCCACCCACCCGUACGGGAAGUGUUUUGGAACUGCAUAGCCA
Molecule: long non-coding RNA, 202 nt
Filed under: Chlamydomonas reinhardtii
Lineage: Eukaryota; Viridiplantae; Chlorophyta; Chlorophyceae; Chlamydomonadales; Chlamydomonadaceae
Description: long non-coding RNA (CREI_LNC001119)
Source: RNAcentral